GCAUAAUCUGUGAAAUCUGUAAUGCCCUCGCCUUUCAAUAUAUUUUCGUCAAUUAAAAAUUGUCCAGUAACAGUUUUGCUAUCUUUGCAGAGCAAUGUGUAAACAGCAUCCGCCAUGAUUUCAGGUUUACGACUGUAAUUACUCGAAUCUGGACCUGAUAGCAUUUCGAUUGCGGCAAUUGCAAAGCAGAGCCUAGAAUUUAUUCUUCAUCAUGCCCCACAAAACGUUGAACAGCAAUAUACCUGUCUUUGGCCAAACGGCGUUUACUGCAAUUCCAUUUGGUUUUAAUUCCUCAGCCAUUCCAAGCACGCACAUGGACAUUCCGUAUUUAGCUAUUGUGUAUGCAACAUGAUUUUUGAACCAAAUCGGUUUCAUACUCAAUGGAGGACUUAUAUUGACUAUAUGCGGAUUCGAACUUUUCAUCAAAUAUGGUAAACAGACUUUUGAUCUAAAACAUAAUUUCAUUGAUUCGUAAUUUGUAACAUAAAUUUCAAGAUAUACCCACGAUUACCUUAAUAAAUUUAGCUAUGUAAGUCUGUCCUUACAACUACAUUACUCAACAUUAAUUCAUUAAAUAUCAAGAAUAUGGUAGCAUAGCAGAAAAAAAGAACUUACACAAGGAAUGUUCCUCUUGUGUUGAUAUUAUUCAUCAAAUCAUAUCUUUUCAUAUCAGUUGCAAGAGUACCUGUUAGAGAAAUAGCGCUCGCAUUGUUUACAACAAUAUCUAUUCCACCAAAUUUAUCAACUGCAUUUUUUACUGCAUUAACCACUUGUGCUUCAUCGCGAACAUCUACAACGCAAGGUAGAGCCUUACCACCAACUGCUUCAACUGAAAUACAUUUUCCGCACUAAAUUAUUAAGUUUGGAAAGUUUUAAGCUGUAAAUAUAUGGCUGACAUAGUGGAAAAGUUGAAUUAUUUGUAAUUCAGUCUGGCACUGUAUAAAAUUAAAUACAGCAAUAAAGUCUUUGUUGAAAAUAA
Long non-coding RNA from Harpegnathos saltator (Jerdon's jumping ant), 979 nucleotides. RefSeq lists it as uncharacterized. NCBI's taxonomy places the organism in Eukaryota, Metazoa, Arthropoda, Insecta, Hymenoptera, Formicidae. The transcript has 2 exons. The record is from RefSeq and is a predicted model, not a curated record.